Molecule: ribosomal RNA, 475 nt
Filed under: uncultured bacterium
Lineage: Bacteria
Description: SSU rRNA
Rfam family: Bacterial small subunit ribosomal RNA
Source: RNAcentral
AGGACGAACGCUGGCGGCGUGCUUAACACAUGCAAGUCGAGCGGAAAGGCCCUUCGGGGUACUCGAGCGGCGAACGGGUGAGUAACACGUGAGUAAUCUGCCCCUAGCUCUGGGAUAGCUCCGGGAAACCGGGAUUAAUACCGGAUACGACCACCUUAGACAUCUUUUGUGGUGGAAAGAAUUUCGGCUAGGGAUGAGCUCGCGGCCUAUCAGCUUGUUGGUGGGGUAACGGCCUACCAAGGCGACGACGGGUAGCCGGCCUGAGAGGGCGACCGGCCACACUGGGACUGAGACACGGCCCAGACUCCUACGGGAGGCAGCAGUGGGGAAGUAUUGCGCAAUGGGCGAAAGCCUGACGCAGCGACGCCGCGUGGGGGAUGAAGGCCUUCGGGUUGUAAACCCCUUUCAGCAGGGACGAAGCGAAAGUGACGGUACCUGCAGAAGAAGCGCCGGCUAACUACGUGCCAGCAGCCGC